Lactuca sativa (garden lettuce) is the source of this 1960-nucleotide non-coding RNA. Lineage: Eukaryota; Viridiplantae; Streptophyta; Magnoliopsida; Asterales; Asteraceae. The record is from RefSeq and is a predicted model, not a curated record.
AAGUCGGACAAAGUCGGACAGUGGUGGUGCUAUGGAGUCGGCUCUGAAUAGAAAACCCCCCUUCCCACUCGAUCUAUAGGCUCUGUGUGAGUAUAUGUUUGUGUGUGUGUUCGCUCUUUAUCGCCUUCUCCACUGAUGUAUGCUAUGAGAUGUUUACCGAUCGACCUGGGGAACGGUCGACAAAGUUUAAUCUGUGACGUCGUCUUGUAUCGAUUAACAAGUUUCGUUGUUUAAUCGUGUCUUCUUGCUCCAAAAAAGAUUCUUCAUCUAUCCACUUAUCUUCUUCUCACUCUAUUCGCUUUGGACUCCAUUCCAUGUCGGCAUCGCCGGGAGAAUAAGGCGGACUAACGUUACCUUCGUGUAUACGCUUUUACCUCCACCACCAAUGACUCAUCUUAAUGUCUGACCCCUAUUUGCUUCGAUUUUCCGUUUGGUGUAGAGGGUUACCCAUUUGCCCGCGACCACUUCACCAUCAACCUCUCUCACAUCCAUCGUCGCCUACCUCCGGUGGGUUGAGCCGAUUUCCGCUUCAAUCUGUUGCCACCGGUUCGCCAUAAAUCAGGUUUUCAGGUGGAGGUCGUCUGACAUAGCGAUGAUAAAGUCAGGGAAGGAUAACCGAUACACCAUUAAUUCAGUUGUAACACACGUUUAUGAAUAGGUGGAUGUUAUUGGAAUCAUUGAAGCACGAUUCUUUGAUGAUCUGUCUGAAUUUUGUUCUAAAGUUGUUGUAAUGAUGGAAAAACGGUCAUAGUUGCAGGUGUUGGUGAUGAUUACUUAAGGUGGAUGUUAUUGGAAUCAAUUUUACAAUCUCUCAUGCACUCUAAUUUCAAACAACAGAAGUAUAUCUUCCAAAUGGAUAGUCUCAACAAGGUUAUUGCUUUUCUGUGAGAAACAUGUCUGUAACACAUUCAACGAAAUGCCUGACUUAAUUAAGGGUGACUAUUAUCCUCCAAGAUUUAUGCUGCUAAAAAUCCACAUGGUGCAGAGUCUUUACCUCCAGGAAUUGUAGUCCCACAAACUGAUUUAUAUUUGACAAGAUUAUGGGGUGAUCCAUUCCUUGUGAGAAUCCUCAAAAUGAUCUUCAAGCAAUGGAUAGAUCGAUGUAAUACAAUUUGGCAAAGAAAGCAUGUUCAUGUCUAGAAGCUUGCAACUGCACAAUCCGUUGAGAGUCGAAUUUUUAAUAGAGCUUUCAAUAAGUUGGGUCUGGAGCAUAUGGUGAUUGCAAAAGGUCAGUUUCAACAAGAGAGCAUGUUAGCGCUAUUGAGACAUGAUGAUGAUACAGAAGACAAAAGGAAACGAACAAAUAUAAGCGAGGAGGUUCUUGAAAUGGUGUUGGAUAGAAAUGAUCUACAUGCAAAAGCAGGAUCAGAUGAGAACUCCCCUUUCUCAGGCAUUCCAGAAUGUUUCCUUAUUGAAGCUUUUAGCUAUGAAAAGAUCUACUCCAAACUUCUUCUUUUUAAAGCAACCCACCAUUGUUGAUUCCUCGCAUCAGUUCAUUAACCAAAUGUUGCUAUAAAUUAAAUUGUACAAAUCUAACUUAUAUAUAUAUAUUUGAUUUAUGUAGAUUCCACCAAUCAAGAAGCAUUUAAUGGAGCAACUGCUAAUGAGGUCAUAGACAUUCCAAAUGAACCCUCUUUAUAUUUUCUUUGGUUGUGUGACUUAUAUGAAAAAACGAUUUGCUAUUUGAAAAGUUUGAAUAUUGUCUCAGUGGAAGUAAACAUUGGGUAGCAAGUGGUGCUCACAGGUAGUUCUGAACCCAACUCAACCAAGUAUCCCACAUGGGGUAUGCAACGCAUUUACCUGUGUUUAUAGUCAAUAAUCCAAAACGUAACCCACAUUUCCAAAACUGAACCAAAACUUUUGUAUUUCCUAAAUAUUUUUGUUAUUGUCAACUUUAUUUUCCAAUUUAAAGUUUGGUGUGAUGAAUCGAGUAAGGAAUGUAAUUAAAAAAAUCACUACA